UUAAGCGACUAAGCGUACACGGUGGAUGCCCUGGCAGUCAGAGGCGAUGAAGGACGUGCUAAUCUGCGAUAAGCGUCGGUAAGGUGAUAUGAACCGUUAUAACCGGCGAUUUCCGAAUGGGGAAACCCAGUGUGAUUCGUCACACUAUCAUUAACUGAAUCCAUAGGUUAAUGAGGCGAACCGGGGGAACUGAAACAUCUAAGUACCCCGAGGAAAAGAAAUCAACCGAGAUUCCCCCAGUAGCGGCGAGCGAACGGGGAGCAGCCCAGAGCCUGAAUCAGUGUGUGUGUUAGUGGAAGCGUCUGGAAAGGCGCGCGAUACAGGGUGACAGCCCCGUACACAAAAAUGCACAUACUGUGAGCUCGAUGAGUAGGGCGGGACACGUGGUAUCCUGUCUGAAUAUGGGGGGACCAUCCUCCAAGGCUAAAUACUCCUGACUGACCGAUAGUGAACCAGUACCGUGAGGGAAAGGCGAAAAGAACCCCGGCGAGGGGAGUGAAAAAGAACCUGAAACCGUGUACGUACAAGCAGUGGGAGCACGCUUAGGCGUGUGACUGCGUACCUUUUGUAUAAUGGGUCAGCGACUUAUAUUCUGUAGCAAGGUUAACCGAAUAGGGGAGCCGAAGGGAAACCGAGUCUUAACUGGGCGUUAAGUUGCAGGGUAUAGACCCGAAACCCGGUGAUCUAGCCAUGGGCAGGUUGAAGGUUGGGUAACACUAACUGGAGGACCGAACCGACUAAUGUUGAAAAAUUAGCGGAUGACUUGUGGCUGGGGGUGAAAGGCCAAUCAAACCGGGAGAUAGCUGGUUCUCCCCGAAAGCUAUUUAGGUAGCGCCUCGUGAAUUCAUCUCCGGGGGUAGAGCACUGUUUCGGCAAGGGGGUCAUCCCGACUUACCAACCCGAUGCAAACUGCGAAUACCGGAGAAUGUUAUCACGGGAGACACACGGCGGGUGCUAACGUCCGUCGUGAAGAGGGAAACAACCCAGACCGCCAGCUAAGGUCCCAAAGUCAUGGUUAAGUGGGAAACGAUGUGGGAAGGCCCAGACAGCCAGGAUGUUGGCUUAGAAGCAGCCAUCAUUUAAAGAAAGCGUAAUAGCUCACUGGUCGAGUCGGCCUGCGCGGAAGAUGUAACGGGGCUAAACCAUGCACCGAAGCUGCGGCAGCGACGCUUAUGCGUUGUUGGGUAGGGGAGCGUUCUGUAAGCCUGUGAAGGUGUGCUGUGAGGCAUGCUGGAGGUAUCAGAAGUGCGAAUGCUGACAUAAGUAACGAUAAAGCGGGUGAAAAGCCCGCUCGCCGGAAGACCAAGGGUUCCUGUCCAACGUUAAUCGGGGCAGGGUGAGUCGACCCCUAAGGCGAGGCCGAAAGGCGUAGUCGAUGGGAAACAGGUUAAUAUUCCUGUACUUGGUGUUACUGCGAAGGGGGGACGGAGAAGGCUAUGUUGGCCGGGCGACGGUUGUCCCGGUUUAAGCGUGUAGGCUGGUUUUCCAGGCAAAUCCGGAAAAUCAAGGCUGAGGCGUGAUGACGAGGCACUACGGUGCUGAAGCAACAAAUGCCCUGCUUCCAGGAAAAGCCUCUAAGCAUCAGGUAACAUCAAAUCGUACCCCAAACCGACACAGGUGGUCAGGUAGAGAAUACCAAGGCGCUUGAGAGAACUCGGGUGAAGGAACUAGGCAAAAUGGUGCCGUAACUUCGGGAGAAGGCACGCUGAUAUGUAGGUGAAGCGACUUGCUCGUGGAGCUGAAAUCAGUCGAAGAUACCAGCUGGCUGCAACUGUUUAUUAAAAACACAGCACUGUGCAAACACGAAAGUGGACGUAUACGGUGUGACGCCUGCCCGGUGCCGGAAGGUUAAUUGAUGGGGUCAGCGCAAGCGAAGCUCUUGAUCGAAGCCCCGGUAAACGGCGGCCGUAACUAUAACGGUCCUAAGGUAGCGAAAUUCCUUGUCGGGUAAGUUCCGACCUGCACGAAUGGCGUAAUGAUGGCCAGGCUGUCUCCACCCGAGACUCAGUGAAAUUGAACUCGCUGUGAAGAUGCAGUGUACCCGCGGCAAGACGGAAAGACCCCGUGAACCUUUACUAUAGCUUGACACUGAACAUUGAGCCUUGAUGUGUAGGAUAGGUGGGAGGCUUAGAAGUGUGGACGCCAGUCUGCAUGGAGCCGACCUUGAAAUACCACCCUUUAAUGUUUGAUGUUCUAACGUUGACCCGUAAUCCGGGUUGCGGACAGUGUCUGGUGGGUAGUUUGACUGGGGCGGUCUCCUCCUAAAGAGUAACGGAGGAGCACGAAGGUUGGCUAAUCCUGGUCGGACAUCAGGAGGUUAGUGCAAUGGCAUAAGCCAGCUUGACUGCGAGCGUGACGGCGCGAGCAGGUGCGAAAGCAGGUCAUAGUGAUCCGGUGGUUCUGAAUGGAAGGGCCAUCGCUCAACGGAUAAAAGGUACUCCGGGGAUAACAGGCUGAUACCGCCCAAGAGUUCAUAUCGACGGCGGUGUUUGGCACCUCGAUGUCGGCUCAUCACAUCCUGGGGCUGAAGUAGGUCCCAAGGGUAUGGCUGUUCGCCAUUUAAAGUGGUACGCGAGCUGGGUUUAGAACGUCGUGAGACAGUUCGGUCCCUAUCUGCCGUGGGCGCUGGAGAACUGAGGGGGGCUGCUCCUAGUACGAGAGGACCGGAGUGGACGCAUCACUGGUGUUCGGGUUGUCAUGCCAAUGGCACUGCCCGGUAGCUAAAUGCGGAAGAGAUAAGUGCUGAAAGCAUCUAAGCACGAAACUUGCCCCGAGAUGAGUUCUCCCUGACUCCUUGAGAGUCCUGAAGGAACGUUGAAGACGACGACGUUGAUAGGCCGGGUGUGUAAGCGCAGCGAUGCGUUGAGCUAACCGGUACUAAUGAACCGUGAGGCUUAACCUU
RNAcentral lists this ribosomal RNA (2902 nucleotides) under Escherichia coli. Its description in RNAcentral is "bacterial LSU rRNA". It matches the Rfam family "Bacterial large subunit ribosomal RNA". The record is from RNAcentral. Lineage: Bacteria; Pseudomonadati; Pseudomonadota; Gammaproteobacteria; Enterobacterales; Enterobacteriaceae.